GACGAACGCUGGCGGCGUGCCUAAUACAUGCAAGUCGAGCGGACCCUUCGGGUCAGCGGCGGACGGGUGAGUAACACGUGGGUAAUCUGCCCAACUGACUGGAAUAACGCCUGGAAACGGUGCUAAUGCCGGAUAGGCAACUGGUAGGCAUCUACCGGUUGGGAAAGGUGCAACUGCACCGCAGAUGGAGGAGCCCGCGGCGCAUUAGCUAGUUGGUGGGGUAACGGCCUACCAAGGCGACGAUGCGUAGCCGACCUGAGAGGGUGGACGGCCACACUGGGACUGAGACACGGCCCAGACUCCUACGGGAGGCAGCAGUAGGGAAUCUUCCGCAAUGGGCGCAAGCCUGACGGAGCAACGCCGCGUGAGCGAAGAAGGCCUUCGGGUUGUAAAGCUCAGUCAUUCGGGAAGAGCGGACAGGAGAGGGAAUGCUCCUGUCGAGACGGUACCGGAAGAGGAAGCCCCGGCUAACUACGUG
RNAcentral lists this ribosomal RNA (478 nucleotides) under uncultured bacterium. RNAcentral describes it as "bacterial SSU rRNA". It matches the Rfam family "Bacterial small subunit ribosomal RNA", at positions 28 to 507 of the family's 1533-position model. The record is from RNAcentral.